This 1050-nucleotide ribosomal RNA is filed under the name uncultured bacterium. Its description in RNAcentral is "bacterial SSU rRNA". It matches the Rfam family "Bacterial small subunit ribosomal RNA", at positions 55 to 1070 of the family's 1533-position model. The record is from RNAcentral.
AUGCAGUCGCACGAGAAGGCGGGGCAACUCGCCGAGUAAAGUGGCGCAAGGGUGAGGAAUACAUGGGCAACGUACCCUGAGCACGAGGAUAGCCGUGGGAAACUGCGGGUAAUACUCGAUUAGACCACGACCUCAUAAGAGGUUGCGGUCAAUGGGCGGGGAUCCGCAAGGACCUGUCGGCUCUAGAGCGGCCCAUGUCCUAUCAGCUAGUUGGUGAGGUAACGGCCCACCAAGGCGACGACGGGUAGCGGGACUGAGAGGUUGGCCCGCCACAUUGGCACUGAGACACUGGCCAGACUCCUACGGGAGGCUGCAGUAACGAAUAUUCCGCAAUGGGCGAAAGCCUGACGGAGCGACGCCGCGUGUGGGAAGAAGGUCUUCGGAUUGUAAACCACUGUGAGGGGUUACCAAGUGAACCGCCUUAACAAGGCGGGGAUCUGAGGAGCCCCAGAGGAAGCCACGGCUAACUCUGUGCCAGCAGCCGCGGUAAGACAGAGGUGGCAAGCGUUGUUCGGAAUCAUUGGGCUUAAAGGGCGCGUAGGCGGCCCGACAAGUGUCUUGUGAAAUCCCUCGGCUCAACCGAGGAGUUGCUGGGCAUACUGUCAGGCUUGAGGCAGGAAAGGGCGAGUGGAACUCUUGGUGGAGCGGUGGAAUGCGUAGAUAUCAAGAGGAACGCCGGUGGUGAAGACGACUCGCUGGGCCUGUCCUGACGCUGAGGCGCGAAAGCCAGGGGAGCAAACGGGAUUAGAUACCCCGGUAGUCCUGGCCCUAAACGAUGCCGACUAGAUCGGAGUCACUCUGACGUGCCUCUGGUCGCAAUGAAAACGUUAAGUCGGCCGCCUGGGGAGUACGGUCGCAAGGCUAAAACUCAAGGAAUUGACGGGGGCUCACACAAGCGGUGGAGUAUGUUGUUCAAUUCGAUGCAACGCGAAGAACCUUAUCCUGGGCUUGACAUGCCAGAGCCUCUACCUUGGAAAGAGGAUAGAGUUUUCCUUCGGGUGGUAGCUUGCCCAUGUGCCUGCAUGACUGUCGUCAGCUUCGUGGCCUUGA